GAUGAACGCUGGCGGCGUGCCUAAUACAUGCAAGUCGAGCGAACAGACGAGGCGCUUGUUCCUCUGUCGUUAGCGGCGGACGGGAGAGACACACGUGGAUAACCUCCCUAUAAGACUGAGAAAACCUCGGGACACCGGAGAUAAUACCGGAUAAUAUAUUGAACCGCAUGGUUCAAUAGAGAAAGACGGUUUUGCUGUCUCGUCUAGCUGGAUCCGCGCGGCAUUAGCUAGUUGGUACGUUAACGGCUUACCAAGGCAACGAUGCGUAGCCGACCUGAGAGGGUGAUAGGCCACAUGGGAGCUGGAACACGGUCCAGACGCCUAAGGGAGGCAGCAGUAGGGAACCGUCCGCAGUGGGCGAAAGCCUGACGGAGCAACGCCGCGUGAGUGAUGAAGGUCUUCGGAGCGUAAAACUCUGUUAUGAGGGAAGAACAAAUGUGUAAGUAACUAUGCAGGUCUUGACGGUACCUAAUCAGAAAGCCACGGCUAACUACGUG
This 497-nucleotide ribosomal RNA is filed under the name uncultured bacterium. Its description in RNAcentral is "partial 16S ribosomal RNA". It matches the Rfam family "Bacterial small subunit ribosomal RNA", at positions 28 to 507 of the family's 1533-position model. The record is from RNAcentral.